GAAAUGCGAUACUUGGUGUGAAUUGCAGAAUCCCAUGAACCAUCGAGUCUUUGAACGCAAGUUGCGCCUGAAGCGUCAUGUAUCGUGUCUCCCCUAACCCACCUUGUGUGGGAAGGUGGGAGGAAGAUGGCUUCCCAUGCCUCACUGGGCAUGGUUAGCCUAAAUAAGGAGCCUUAGGUUACAAAAUGCUGCAUCUACUAGUGGUACCACAAGGCUCAGCCUAGCUGUAUCGAGUCGCGUAGGACGUAGCCUUUACGGCCUUGUAGGACCCGGAGUGUCCCCUUUAGGAGACAAACCGUUGCGACCCCAGGUCAGGCGGGGCUACCCGCUGAGUUUAA
This 338-nucleotide unclassified non-coding RNA is filed under the name uncultured fungus. Its description in RNAcentral is "sequence contains ITS1". The stretch from base 1 to 90 matches the Rfam family "5.8S ribosomal RNA", at positions 50 to 154 of the family's 154-position model. The record is from RNAcentral. Lineage: Eukaryota; Fungi.